AGAAAGCUUGAGUUGAGCAACAGUUCCAGAAAAAAAAAUUGUGAAAUGGAGUAAAAAGCUGUCCAGAACACCACAAUUCUGCUCAGUUAAUUAAAAAAAAAAUAAACUUCAGAACUAAGUGCCAAGUCAAGACCACAUUUUUAGCAAAUCAACAUUCUCAGAUGCAGGAUGAUUUUAAACACGGCCCGUUUGAAAUCACUCCAGAACAAGAACCAUCACGAGGAAGUUAUUGGAUACCACCAUCACCCAGGCAGCAACUUAUGCCACAUGCAGGCAUCACGACGGAACAAAGAUUACAACGUCAGGAGCUGAUUUUUACCAUCCUGUCCAAGCCUCGUUGCAUUAAUCCAGAGCUGCGGGGCGUCCACUGUGAACCUCGAGGUGGGAAUGGGGCACCCCCCCCCUUUUCCCCCCGCAUCACGUCGAAUUUAAUCAGAAAUUAAUCUCCUGCCCCAAAAUGCCGGGUCUGAGCUCACCCCGAGGACGUGCAGGGUGUCUGGAGAGUGAAAGAGAAACGAGGAGGGAUUUAGUGCAGGCCUGAUGUAACCCGCAGCAGAGUGUUGCAUCAAAGCCUCGAAAGGAACCCGAGACAAAAACAAUCCUCUGAGAGCGGCCAAGGGAUGAGCGAAGCGUGGGGAGAUGUUGCUGAGCGCAGCAAGAGGAGUCCUGCCUCUCACACUGACACUGCUCUGCUGGCACUGCUGCCCUGGGCUUCAAAACCUUGUACCCAUGUGCUGCUCUUGAAGGGACGUUUAGAGAGAGGCUCCAAGUGUGCAAUUUUGAGUUUUGAGUUCAAGCAUCCUCCAGUUCUGGGCAUUUGGCUCGAGAGUUUGGUUAUGGCUCAUUGUAAGGACAGAAAAUUCACAUCAAGUUCUGAAUUUGGACGUAAAUUCUUAUCUCCAGGAUCACUGCUUCACUUGCACAUCAGUACCAGAGCCCUGGGCUUCAAAACCUUGCACCCAUGUGCUCUUCUUGAAGGCACAUUUAAGGGUAAGCACAACUGCACAGUUUUGGCUUUGAGUUCAGCUUCCCUCAGUUCUGGCCGUUUGGCUCCAGGAUUUGGAUGUGGUUUCUUUUAAAGACAGAAGCGUCACAUCAAAUUCUGAAUUUGGGCAUAAUUUCGUAUACCCAGGACUGCUGCUUCACUUGCACCUCAGAACCAGAGCCCUGGCCUUCAAAGCCUUGCACCUAUGUGCUCUUCUUGAAGUGUGGGGAGAUGUUGCUGAGCGCAGCAAGAGGAGUCCUGCCUCUCACACUGACACUGCUCCGUUGGCACCGCAGCCCUGGGCUUCAAAACCUUGCACGUAUGUCCUCUUCUUGAAGGGACAUUUAGGGGACUUAUCUGCAUUUAAUUACAUAUGGCAUCAUUGUCAGCAAAUCACAGUCAGGGACGUGGAUCUCACCAUGCAAGGCCUGUAUCAAACACCAAACAAAAUAGUUUCUGUCUAGUGCUACCAUCAUAGCUACCACAGUGCUUAUCUCUGUCCUGUCUUUCUUGUUCCUAAAUCUCCCCCUCCUUCCUACCCUGUUCCAUCAAGCCUCCUCUGCUUUCUCUCCACAACCUGCCUGCUGCUCACUUGCUCUCUUGGACAUGGCACACUUUCUCCCCACCAGCACAUUUAAUUGCAAUGUUUCAUUUCAUUAUUAGCUUGUCACCACCUCCAUCAAGCCACCUUUCCUGACAUAUCUAGCUGCAGAACUUUCCCGUAUAGCUUGUCACUAACUUUCACAUUAAGGCUUGUCUAAAUUCAUGUGCAAAAGGGUCUAUGAAAAAUAAUGACUAUAGUACUGUGUUUAUUUUUGAAUAAAGAGCAGCAUUAGUGAAUAGUGUUCCUGUACAGGCAGAGACAGAUAUACUGUGUGCCCAGCUGCUGCAGGCUCAUUGCACAGAAAUGUGUCUGUGUGUCAGUUGAACAAAGCUUUUCCCUUCAUGGGGACAUUAGGAGUCUCUAGCAGUGUUCUCUACACACAUAUGGAGGUCAAGCCCAAGAUGGUUAAGUCAACAGAAGUCUCCUGUUAAUAACAGUUAGUGUUGGAUCAGAUUCUUGUUGUGCAUAGUAAGUCAACCAAACAAGUUAACAACUGCCGGUGGGCAGGCAUCAUGCAUACUUGCUGUGGUAUUCUGCUGCUGCUCGAGUGCAGGGUGGAGCGCUGGCAACCAGAUAUAGCUUCCCCAGGAGAGCGGCCAGGGAGAUGUGCAGGUUUUCAAUGGAGUCACAACCACAGAACCAUUUUUUUCCAUAUUGCAACCCCACAUUUCUAGCUUGUGGCACUAAAGUAAUUUUCAAAGUAUGGUUUAGCUUAUUUUAAGUGCAUUUUACACGAGUAAACUCAAGCAAGGCAGAGGACAAGUGGCAGAUGGUCAGUGACAGAGCCAGGAAUGGAGUGGAGAACUUCCCUAUCCCAGUACAUGGUUUUAACAGACUUUGUCCCAGGAUUGUGAAGGUUGACUAUUUAUCAUUCAUGAAGCUUCAGCAGUGCUUAAAAACAAACAAACAAACAAGUAAACAAAGCAGCUAUUACUAAUCACAUCGCUUCCUGGCAGAGCCUGUCUUCCACAGGCAAAACUAUUUCAGUUUCUUAAGGAUGCAGUUUGGAGCUUGAUCUGUUCACUUAGCAGUUUUAUUCCUUUUGAACUCUCUUGGCUGUUCUAUGUGCACUGUUCAUUUACAUCUGCAAGGGGGAAGAAUGAGUCUCCAGGAGAACCCAAUGGAACAUCUUUCAGAGAGACAUGGCAUAUCUGUAACCUUGGUAAAAAUAACUAUAAAGGUAAUGAUAAUGGGUAAUUAAAAACCAUGUAGCUGGCAAAACAACACUCUGCAUUCCAGAGGAUGAAUUGCCUUACCCUGUCCAGUAGCCCACUUUACGGUACAGUAAUGGAUCUGCAUCCGGAAGAUUAAACAAUGAAAUGGAGCCUUUGGCAAGCUGGAAUCACAUUGGAAAAGGAGGAACUUUGUCAUGGUUUCUUUUUAAUGUAUGCAUAUUUGAAGAUCUGGAACUUAUCCCUUUUGGCAUAAAGACACCAUCCCUGCUUCGAAUUAUUAAGUUCUAGGACAGAUUAUGAAAUAAUAAAGUAUUUAAAUAUUAUGGUGCAGCAGUACAACAGAGCAGAUACCCUUCCUUUUACUGCUUCAAGUAUAGCAUUUCUGAAAAGCUUUUUGUACUCCUAGAGAACUACUGGUUAUAAAUUAUGAAAGAGGCAAUAGAAUAUCAUGCAAUAAUGCAAAAAAAAAAAAAAAGUUUCAGACCCUUCUCUAGAUAAAGAACUUACUGAAGCAGCUAAAAAUAAGGGGAAAUUAAGUGAACACCGGGUCUGAUCCAAAGGCCACUGACCCCAGGAGAUGCACUGCAGGUGGUUCAUUAGGUGUCAAGAGUCAUGUAUGUCAUGAAUUACAAUUCACAAAAUGCAAAUAAGGUUGUUGUAUGAGUAAGGAUAAAGCCUAAUUGAAGAAUCUAGGCAUUUCGCUUGGAUAAAAUGAGCAGAUUUUUCUCCAGCAGGUAGACUUUCUCAGCAAGGAUUUAUUGCCAAUAUUUAUGUGAGAGUUUGUAGUUCCAAAAGCACAGAAAUGCUGGGAAACAAAAAGGAAAGAAAAUGUAUCCAAAGAGGAAACCCAAAUGUUUCCAAGUCAUUUCUAUAAAUAAAAAUCUGAUGCAAGCUCAUUAGCAUUUCACUUUUCAGUGCUGAUUUGCUUCUCCAGGAUUUCAGAGUGUGCAUUGGUGAAUUUAGACUGUGCAUCAUAAAGUUUCCCUCAGCAAACGCUAGCACUAUUCACAACGCGUUGCAGCAGCUAUCAAAUAUUGAAUGGUAAGAGACCUGCUGGAUGGCCGCUGGCAUUAAUCAGCGAGAAAAUGGUUGCCAUUGCGCUUUGCUGUGUUGCUGUGGGCAGGGGUAUCAUGCAAGUGGUGCCAUACUUCUUCUCUUGUUAUUAGUAGGCAAAUAAAUAUGUACAGCUGAAGCAUAUUUCUGAAAUGGCUCUUCCUGUAGACACUGGAAGCUCCAAAAUAAAUAUUUGCAGCAGAUUUUGGAGAAUGAGAGAGUAGGAGAGUUGCUUGAGGAUGGUCCUAGUCCUAAUGCACGUACCAAAACCAACCUGUUGUCUGUUCCAGCGCUAACCUGUUUGAAGUAUUGCUUUCAUCAGUAAAGCAAGAAAACAAAAGCUUCUCUAUGUGGAGUAAUAUCAGGAAGGAAAUUAUGCAUGCAGAUUCACUGGCAAAAAUAGCAAUCUUGGGCUGUAAAUGUACGCACUGAUAGCGCUGUUUUGUUGCUAUUUUCAGCAGCCCCUGUACCCUCGGGGAUGAAACUUAACUGCUAUCACUACUGUUCAUGUUUCAGCAUUAAAGGUUUGAUUUGCACUCAGGCUCUUUGGCCCAUCUGGAGGUGAUUUCUGCAGAUAGCAGUCUUAUCUGUGGAUCAGUUCAGUUCAUCAUCCAGAGUCAUGCCAUGUGACACUGUGGUGUUGUGGGUGUCUUCUGUCAUAUCAGAUACAAAACUACUUUCGUUCACUAGAAAUCUCAGUUUCUUAGUUUUUGCACUUUUAUUUAUACUCCAGUCACGCUUAGGGCAGGUAAUUGCAUUCCACAUGUCUGAGCAUUCCCUACAGUUUUAUCUGGCUGAGAUGCUUAGUUCAGACUCUAAACUCUUGCACAGUCCUGCUGUUUAAAGUUUUUGUAUCUUCUUCUAGAGAGCACUUAUAUUGUGAUGGGUUAAGUGAAGUAUAUCUGUCACUUAACCACUUCUCAGGAGUACUGUCAGUCUUAAUUAAUGUUUGUAGAACACUACUGAAAUUCUCCAGAGAAGCAGUAAUAGAAGUGCAAAGGAUUAUAUUUUAUUUAAAACUAUCUAAUUUUUGAGUAAAUGGCUAACAACACUGAAGCUAAGAUUCUCCAAGUAAAACUGAUUUAUUUGACUCUUAGAAGAAAACAUUCUGAAAUCUGGGUUUCCAUUUAUUGCUACCACUGUAUGAUGCAUUUUGAUUUUUAUUGUCUUUUGAUAUACUUUGAUAUAUCCAGGCACACAACGUAGUCUGGUUUAGUUCAGGAAACGCUGUCCAACAUACGUUACUCAGGCUAAAAUAAAGAAAACCAGUAAAAUAACUAAAUCAAUUAACUCAAAGACAAUCCAUAUCACCAUUUGUCUUUCAUAUAUUAAGUAUUUGAACCAUAAAGCCUGUAAUUAGUAUUAUAGAAUAAUUUCCAUAUUUAUUUAUGAAGCAUUUAAUUAACAUAAACAGUCAUUAUCUGGAAAUAGAACCAGGUUAUUAAAGUUCAGAAAACUGAGAAGUCAGAUUGAGAUCUGUCAAGAAAUACCAAAGAGAUUGGCUCAACACCCUGUUUGAAACUGUUCAGAGAGAAAAUUCUCUGCUUCCGAACAAGCUGAAACAGGACACUGCUUUGGAAAUACAAGCAGUGUGUCAUCCACAUGAUAUCACCGAACAGAACAGUUAUUUUGUACGGUGAGAAAACAUUGGAUCACUCUUCUCACUAACUGAGGCUUUCCAAGAAAAGGCAUCUGACACAUCUGCACUGAAAAUCUGACCCAGAUUAUAGCUGAUGUUUUCAUAACACAGCUCAACUGCUUUUCUGCAACUCCACAGCAUUUCAAAAUGCUUUUCCAGAUACUUCUAUCUUUCAAAAUACUUUCAACACUUACAGUACUUUCAAUGCUUUCAAGAUGUUUCACCUACUCAGAUAUCACAUUAUGCAGAAAAGAAAAUAGAAGGAAAAAUGUGGCACUUCCAUGUUUCUGUUUGCAAGCUAGAUUCAUCACUCCUCAGCUAUUAGCUAGAGAGUCACAGGUAGCUAAAAAUAUGUCCUCGUUGACUAAAAGAAUGUAUUUGUGGCCUCGUUGUCAGUGCUUUUGCCAUUCAAGAUCCAGAGCAUUCAUUAUUGGAAUUUUAUCUAGGUAGCAACGAACCCACCAACUUUAAAAAAUCUACAGAACAUUUUCCAGACUAUAUUGUAGUUGCUGUGUUAAGUCAGAGCUGUGUCUACCUUUUUUUUUAGUGUAAGAUACUUCUUUGAAAUGUAAGUGCAAGCCCACCAGAGCAAGGUGCCACCACAAUCUACCUUGUUCGGACCAUUUUCUAACUAAUUCCUGGAGAACUGAGGUUGGCUCAAGUACUGAGUCAUAAGGAUUUAAUCUCAAUAUCAAUAUUUUUAUUAUGUGUUAUUUUAUCUUUGGUACUUUUAAAAUCUAUAUCACUGCCUAACUCCUCUCCUAAUUAUCUGAAAUUCUUUUCUUCUGUAACUGCUUUGGAAUGUUCCCUUAUACUAUUACAAAUACUGGCCUUAUUCUAUUAGGUCCUAGUUAUCUAUAGAUUUGGUUAGGUAAGAAUAUACUUAAUUAAAAUGCAAGCAACUGCUGGGAAAGGGAACAAAACAAAGUAGCAAUAUUAAAUCUCACCGGUGAGUCACAGUGAAUAUAGGUCAGGUCAAGCUUCUGCCCUUUUCUGAGCUCUCUGAGGAUUUGGUCCAGCUUACCCGAAGGAGCCCCUAACCUCAACAGACCUUCAUGCAGUCAGAACUCAAGCUUAGGUUUGUAUUCCUUCACCCUAAUAGAACUGCCAUUUCAGCAUGGAAGUUUAGAAGAGAUGAAAACUUUCUUAGCAACUGUUCCACAACCUGCAGCUGACAAAGGAGAUGAGAAUGAACACAAACCAAAGCAACUUGAGAGUAAAAUACAAAGCCUAUUUAUUUCUUUAACUCAAAAUACCCCUAAUCAUGCUAUGGGUCUACUCAAUCUCAUCCAUUAAGUCUCAAAAUCAAUGUGCUAAGAGCAGGAAAGGGAGAAGGAUAUACCUGAUCUGAUUCAUACCUGGGGGAAGCCCUCUGCUGCAGCAGUAAGGAGCUCAGAGAGAGAAUUCUGGAUUAAUUAAACUGCUUUUCACCUCCUUGAAAAAGUAUGACUGAAUGUUAAUGCAAUAGAAGUAAUUUAUGGAACCACAUUUGAAUUUGACUCAUAACAACAGUGCAAAACUAUCUUAAUAUGCGGCAAUUUUUAAAAAUCGCAGUCUGACUCUUAAUACCAAAAUGAAUACUUCAAGUAUAAAUAAUGACAUUGGAGGAAAUGUCCUUGGCAAGCAAAUUUGUUCCAUGCUGCUGAUGGUUCCUGUUAGCGACAUGGUUUUUUUUCAAGAAGGAAACAAUGGAAAACAGAUGUAAAAGCACUUGCCAGGAGGCCAGGGAAUGGCAGCUUUUCCAAAUGUCCAGUGUGGAGAGUGGAGCCAAUUUAAAAGAGAAUUAAUUAUUUAAACUGAAUUAAUUUGACUACAAUGAAGCCCUGAUAAGUAAUUUCAUCCAUCCUACUUCCUACUGCUACCCCUUGCAGUCUAACUCUAAAUACUGACCUCUAUUUGCAAAUACUUAACUGAAAAAUCCCUUACCCACCCAUAGUACCAACAUGUUGCUUUUUAAUAUCUUUACUGCAUCUCUUCCAGGAAUUUGCCCAAAGACUUGUGCUUACCUCCUCCACAUUCCCAACUCAGACUCAUUUAAUCCCUGUGUCCCUUUUCCCACUUUUCCUCUUCCAGCUUUGUGCUUCUUGUGGUGUUCUCCCAGGUGCUUCAGGCAAUUUCCAUCACUGCAUUCAUCAGAUCCAUCUUUUUCCUGCAGAUCUGUCCUUUGCAUGAAGACCCUCAUACCUUCAUUUUCAACACCUUUUCACUUUUGCUCAUGCAUUGCCUCGUCAUUGCUUGCCUUUGGGGAAAGGGAGGUGACUGAAUUUUAGGUCUACAGCUUUCAUAUGGUAGCUAAUUUUCUCAAAAGAAUCAGUCAUCGCCAAGUGCUCCAUUUACCUCAAGGACAUGGGCCCUGAUGUUGUAAUACAACAGAUUAUAAUCUGUAGAAGGACAAUGGUUACCUAAUGCUCUUUUUCCUUGAUAGCUGUUAGAUGAAAUGUGGCAAACAUCAGCAGAGCCACUGUUGCUCUGAAACCUUUUCCAUAGGAAUAUCCAUAGCCAUGUCUACCAGUAAUAGGACAGAGCCAUCACUUUUGGUUUCCAGUUUCAACAGAGGAACCAUUCUAAAAGUGUCCUUUUCUGUUACUGUUAAAAACUUAAAGCAAAAGCGUCAGUGCUAGGAUUUAUAUGAAGUAAGCUCCUUUAUUUCUUCUAUUUCAUAGAAGAAAAAGAAUUCCUGUCUAUUAAACAAUAAACUUCAUUGCUGUGAGUCUUGCCUGUACUGAGAUUGCAUAUCAAUUUAAAUACGUGAGGGUAAAAAUCAGCCUCAUUAAAGCAGCUCAAAGUCCUAAAAUUGAAUACUAUUUUAACGCUUUCAUAGAGUCAUUCAUAUUCAGUUAUCAUUUACAGGAGCACAUAACAAAUAUAGACAGGAAUUAAAACAGCUGAGGUGCAACAAGAAGUAUUUAGUGUAAAUGAUUUUUAAAAUGACAGUUAAGAACUCUCUUCCAUAGCAGGCUCAAGGCCUUGGAGCAUACAGUGGGUUGGGAUAUACCACUCCUUAUCCCCUGGUGUACUAGAGACAACAUCUGAAUUGUGAACAUGCUGAGGCUAAAGGUCUUCACUCUGUACAUUGUACAAAGGGAUGAGAAGUUGGUGAAGAAUUUCACCACACAAAUGUAACCCAGCAGAUGCUAAUUCACUUAUUUUUUUAACCUAAAGCCAGCAGGAACUCCUCUCUGACAACCGUCCCAAUUGAAAGGGUAGAUUGAACUGGAAAGGAUCCUAUGAAGUGUCAGUGAGCAGCAAUUCAUUAAUGAUAUAUAAUUUAAUCUUUAUAGAGCUGCAGUAAUGCAGUAUUUAUUAAAUAAUUUUGUAUGCUGUCAUUUUCCUGUCACGCAAGGGGAACAACUAAUGUACAUAUGGAAAAAUUUGAGGGCGUUCUUAGAAACCAUAAUAUUUUUCUUGAUCGUUCAUAACAAAAUACGUAAAGAACUAUUCGCCAUAUCACUCUUGCACAGCUUGUAUUAGAUCUCCAUAGUUACACUUCGCAUAACAAGUACAAAAAUGAAGUGUCUUUGCAGGGCUGAUAAGCAGACAGGAAGCAAGCGAACAUCUGCUACAGCUUUAGCUAGUUUUGCCUUCAGCGACUGCUGAAAAACUUCAGGCUCUGCAUUCCACGUACUGCUUGCUUGGCCUUUGACACUGGCAGCUGUUCAACAGGAGAUGUAAAAUGCUAUACCUACAGAAAAGGAGGUACAUUAUUUUCUAAGGGAGUAUUGGGAUACUAGCAUUUUUUAAUUUCUAUUUUCUGAUCACUAGAAACGCUGGCUAGCAGACACUGCAGAUGGAGUUACCUCCUGAAGGUCAACCACUUCCUACUUUACAGUUAUUUUUUUCUAAUGUUCUGUUAUCCUUUCCAAAAUGGCUCUGUUUUAAACACGAAAAACAAUUACACUAUACACUGAAUAGCAAUUAUAUUCAUCAUAAUCAUUGUAAGGAAACCAUGUGCUUCCCUGAAUCGGGGCUGGGGCUUCCAGCCCGGGCAGUCUGUCUUCUUGUAGCAUAACAGCACUUCUACAGCAUGGACAGCCAAAGAACUCUUAUACAAAACAAAUACCAAACAAUUCAGAGCAAACUGUUUCCUUGGUUCAAGAAAGAGCUACUGAACAUGUUUUGAAAAUGAGCUCAGCUGUAUAGUGCAGGUUCUCUGCUUGUGUACGUGGAAGCAAUCUCUGCUCCAGGUAGUUCAGCAGUUCUCUACAUCGUAUUUUUAUUUGCAUAGAGAAAUACUAAAAGAGAACAACUGACAGCAGCCUAUUUAUUGGAAUAUUGAGGCCCAUGUACUGUAAAUACAUCUUUAUGUACUUCCUUGGAGAUUGUAACUUUGCCUUGGAAAUUAGAACAGUUGUAAUGAAAACAGAUUUAUCCAUAUAUGGUAGAUCCUUUGGGUCUGACACAAGGAAAUGAAAAUGGGUUUCAGAGUAUCAACAAGAAAGAUGAAGACACUACUCCAGAAUUAUGUAAGGGUAACUGAGAAGAUAAUUUUGCCCAGAAUUUCCAUGUUCCGUGCUUUGUUGUUGUAUGCAGACUUAAUAGGUUCUAUUCUUAA
RNA transcript from Cuculus canorus (common cuckoo), 10008 nucleotides. RefSeq lists it as uncharacterized. The record is from RefSeq and is a predicted model, not a curated record. The transcript has 3 exons. Lineage: Eukaryota; Metazoa; Chordata; Aves; Cuculiformes; Cuculidae.